UUCAGGAUUAAUUUAAGUAUUGCGAUACUUUAUACUGAUAAUCUAAUGUUCUACUAACGUUCUAAAUUAUUCUAAAUUAAACCAUCCCACUCUACCGGGUACCAAAUCCCCUCCGGACCGUAGCAAAAACAGGUUACAUGGCAAAUAUAAAUCAAGUAAGCUAGAAAUAGCAGGCAUGAACUUAGACGUCAUUAAACCAAGAAGAGAGAGGGAGAGAAAGACUGCAUUAUUCAUCAAAAGAAAUGUUUUUUCCUGCUCCAAUUUAGGUACAUACUGUACUCCUGCUACAUGCAACAUUCUAACAAGAGCUGUAGAAAAUUGUAAGCAUAUGGAGCAUAUGUUAACAUAUUUUUAUUAAAAGCCAAUCAAUAUAAUGCGCGUUUACUCUUUAAAACCCAGUAUAACUGGUUGAUUCCAUUUAUUAUCCCAGAAGUAUAACCCGUAACAUGAGGUUCUUGAUAACAAUAUCCCUUUUUACACUCGUGGGCAAGUCAAAUUAGUACAAUUAUGCUAAUAACAGUAGCUAAAAACCUUUUAAUUUUUUUUAGUUUUUGCAGGUUUAAUAGGAUUCGUGUCUGCCAAGCCACCAUUGGAAGAUAUUGAGGUGUAUGAAAAGUUAUGCAUUACAUAUGGAUUUGAGAAGGAUUGUUGGAUAACUGUUCGUCCUCCAACUACAAAAUCGUCGGCUCAAUGAUGUGGUGAUAAGUUAUUGCAAAAUUCAAUGUUGUGAAACUAUGGUCUGGUAAUAAAUCCAUGAAAGCGAAA
Long non-coding RNA from Anopheles funestus (African malaria mosquito), 765 nucleotides. RefSeq lists it as uncharacterized. The record is from RefSeq and is a predicted model, not a curated record. The transcript is spliced from 2 exons. Lineage: Eukaryota; Metazoa; Arthropoda; Insecta; Diptera; Culicidae.